This is a long non-coding RNA of Amphimedon queenslandica, 365 nucleotides long. RefSeq lists it as uncharacterized. Lineage: Eukaryota; Metazoa; Porifera; Demospongiae; Haplosclerida; Niphatidae. The record is from RefSeq and is a predicted model, not a curated record. The transcript is spliced from 3 exons.
UGCUUUACGGAGAGAUACAGGCUGAACUUGACAAUAAAAUUCUCUUUUAUCAUACUCAUUCUCACUGCGAGGACCAGCUUCAGCUUUAAUUUAUCUUUUUUGUUGACCAGAGCUCUUAAUCUACAAAAGGAAGAUGUGUCUUACAACUACUCGGUUGUGGCCUAUAAUGUGAUGAUGAUGAUGAUGAUGAUGAUGAUGAUGUAGCUACUACUAAUAUGAAAUAUGUCUCACCAGUGAAGAGAGGUACAGAGCUGAGACUAGUGGACAUUAAACUAAGUGAAGGAGUUGGAACAAUUCAAAUGAGUGUCAUUAAAGUGACGGUUGAAUGUAGCAGGUGUAAGUGCAGGACUGACCUCCUCUGCAAA